CGCGUGGAAACCCAGUUAGAUUGGGACCGUUGGGUGCCUUCCAGGCCCAUUUGGUUUUUCUUCUUUUCCAAAAAAAACAUAACACCCCCCCGACCUCUCGAGAGUUCUACGAGGGCCGCUCCUCCUUCUCACUCUCUCCGUUGGUAUCCAUGGAGGCGACGUCGCUGGUGUAUUCUGCAGCAAUGGUGACUUUGGAAAAGUGCGAGCGAAAUGGCUAGGGAUGGAGAGAAGACCAGAAGGUAGCUACAAGCGGCGUCGAACAUGUUCAGAAGGAAACCUGAAUGCAGGGGAUGGCGAUGGCUCUCCAUUAAUCCAAUCGCUGCUCGUUCCUUCUCCUUCUCUCUCUCCGAAGUUCUUUCAUUCGCUCCACCGGACCUUGUGGUGAUGCCGUUAGGGUUCCCAGGGGUUGCGAUUGAAAUUCAUGGCGGUUCACAUUUGAAACCCUUGAUUGUUGAGGAGAAAGAAGAUGAAAGAUAUUGAGUCAACCUUGCACAAGAUGACAAUCACUGUCACCUUGAGAUCCUCAAGGUAUGCAUAAGACACCACUUUGAGAGCAACUGUUGGAAGCUAAAAAACCGACGGUACUUUGAAAUCUAAAACUGGCAGCAUCAAGGCCGAAAUCAGACGUGAAGUUAGCAUACGCCGUUUUAUGGAUUAUUUCGACAAUUCUUCGUAAUCUUGGCGUAACUUUCUCAUAAGAGCUCCGAUCGAGACGAUUCAAAAUUCUAGGAAAAGAUAAAAAAGAGCUAUACAUAUUUUGUGUUUUAAGAUUUGAGAGUUAUAAGCUGUAAGAGGGUCGAAAGUGGGCUUGAAAGAGGAGGAAAGUUCAUGUACCUUUGAAAAAAAAAAGAAAAAAAAAAUCAAAAAAUGAGAUGUGACCCAGCCAUGCAGCCGGGUCAUCUCAGAAGGGCAGUGUGCGCUGGGUACAUAGAAAGGAAAGACAAAAGAAUGGAAAGAAAAAAAAAAGAAAGGAAAGAAAAGCAAGGAAAGAAAGGACAAAAGGAAAGUAAGGAUUGAAAAAGGAAAAGAGGAGGGUUUCCUUGGGAGAGUGCCAUGUGCAAGAAGAGAGGAGGAGAGAGCAGUGUGCGCUGGGGGCUGAAUGGGGAGAGGCCGCACCAUAGGAGAAGGAGAGAAUUUAUUUUUUUUUGGAGACACACAAGGGAGGCCAAACCACAUCGAGUUUCUUGGAAAAAUUAUUUUUUGGGAGCUUUCUUGUGGUUUUCUUUUAGGGGUGCUGCGAAGAUACACACACAGCCAGCAAAGGAGAGUUGGAAGCACGCAAAAAUAAUAUCUUUUCAGAAUUGGAAGGCGGCGAACAACGGCGGUGUUCGGGGUGUUCGUGACGCACGACGGCGGUGCGGCGAGUGUUGAUCUUUCCCGUAUGCUCCAAAUUGAAGAAAAUAUGGUGAAAUUUAUUAUGUUGGUUUUAAUUUUCGGAAUGAACUAAAUUUUUGAAUUCUAAGAAAACGAUGUAGCCAGUUUCGAACUAUGCUUGCUCUUUGAUGCUAAUCUGAAGUAGUUUUCAUU
RNA transcript from Malania oleifera, 1527 nucleotides. RefSeq lists it as uncharacterized. The record is from RefSeq and is a predicted model, not a curated record. The transcript has 6 exons. NCBI's taxonomy places the organism in Eukaryota, Viridiplantae, Streptophyta, Magnoliopsida, Santalales, Ximeniaceae.